Molecule: small RNA, 84 nt
Filed under: Epilithonimonas mollis
Lineage: Bacteria; Pseudomonadati; Bacteroidota; Flavobacteriia; Flavobacteriales; Weeksellaceae
Description: Chryseobacterium molle Flavo-1 RNA
Rfam family: Flavo-1 RNA
Source: RNAcentral
CUGCAAUAGCGAUAGUAGCGGUUAUCCUUUUCCCGGGCUGGGAAGGGCGGGCGGAAAAGAUAUGAGCGGAUAGCGCGACCCGUG